This 70-nucleotide transfer RNA is filed under the name Sphaerodactylus townsendi. RNAcentral's name for it is "tRNA-Ala". The stretch from base 5 to 63 matches the Rfam family "tRNA", at positions 7 to 64 of the family's 71-position model. Rfam says of the family: Transfer RNA (tRNA) molecules are approximately 80 nucleotides in length. Their secondary structure includes four short double-helical elements and three loops (D, anti-codon, and T loops). Further hydrogen bonds mediate the characteristic L-shaped molecular structure. tRNAs have two regions of fundamental functional importance: the anti-codon, which is responsible for specific mRNA codon recognition, and the 3' end, to which the tRNAs corresponding amino acid is attached (by aminoacyl-tRNA synthetases). tRNAs cope with the degeneracy of the genetic code in two manners: having more than one tRNA (with a specific anti-codon) for a particular amino acid; and 'wobble' base-pairing, i.e. permitting non-standard base-pairing at the 3rd anti-codon position. Lineage: Eukaryota; Metazoa; Chordata; Lepidosauria; Squamata; Sphaerodactylidae. The record is from RNAcentral.
GACCGUAGCUCAGUGGUAGAACAUCUGCUUGGCAUUCAGAAAGUCCCAGGUUCAGUCCCUGGCAUAUCCA